Long non-coding RNA from Fukomys damarensis (Damara mole-rat), 960 nucleotides. RefSeq lists it as uncharacterized. The record is from RefSeq and is a predicted model, not a curated record. The transcript is spliced from 3 exons. NCBI's taxonomy places the organism in Eukaryota, Metazoa, Chordata, Mammalia, Rodentia, Bathyergidae.
UGUGGAACUGACUUCUUGGCCCACAGGAAACCUCGAAGAAGUGGUGGUUGUGACAGUGAUAACCACACCUAGGGGCAGCGGGCCGUACUCCCUGCUGUGCAGUGCUCCCCAAGGAGCUUGGCUCUUCCUCAGCAGGGCAGGGAGCACCAGCUCAGAGCUGUGCAGACUCAUCUGUGGAGGGAGGCAACCAGAAUGAUGUCCCAGGAGAAGACGUCCCAGCUGCAAAGGGCCCCAGAGAGGAAGCUGGUGGCUUCAGCACAAUGAGUGUCCGCUGAGAGUUCCCACUGGGCUCUUCGCCUCUGUAUAACUCUGGGCCUCCUGCUUCUGGCCCUAUGUGAGUAUGGCUCCGUUGCCUUUCUGCCCUGCUUGUUUGCUGACACCCUGCAGUGGGUGUCAGAGUGCUAUGGUUUCCAUUAUUUGAAGCUACUCAAAACCUUCUCUCUGGCUUUUGGGGAGAUACAGUUCCACAACUCACGGCCAUCAGAUGUGGACGCCUGGAACCUACCAAGGCUACUGACUCUGAAGAUAGCUUGUCCGUAUUUGUGGGAAUUAUCGCUGAAUGAUCACACGUCUCCAGAGUGCACGCUUGGUUCAUCUUAGCUUCUAUGUCAUCACUCAUGAUUCAAGUAGAUGCUAGUUUAUUCUGGUAGAGCAUACGAAUUAAGGAAAGAUCACUGCUUUUGGGUGAUCUUGACUCCGAUUCUUUACACUCUACUAUAAACACAGCUCCCUGGCUUGCCAGUGCGUGUGUCACAGGUGACUGCAGUUCCCCACCAAUUAUACACAGGAGCCUCUGCUCUUGGACAGUCACAGCACUUCCCAGAGCAGAAACAGGCCGCUCUCCUCUCAGGCUGCUUCUCUUGCGUGGCAAAAGUCAGGCCGUGCAAAGCAUCAUGACCAGCCCUAGCCAAGGACGGCCUGAGGUAGGGCUCGGAUGUUGGGGUCCAAACAAAUCAUUAC